UCCUACGGGAGGCAGCAGUGGGGAAUCUUAGACAAUGGGGGCAACCCUGAUCUAGCCAUGCCGCGUGAGUGAUGAAGGCCUUAGGGUCGUAAAGCUCUUUCGCCUGUGAUGAUAAUGACAGUAGCAGGUAAAGAAACCCCGGCUAACUCCGUGCCAGCAGCCGCGGUAAUACGGAGGGGGUUAGCGUUGUUCGGAAUUACUGGGCGUAAAGCGCGCGUAGGCGGAUUAGAAAGUUGGGGGUGAAAUCCCGGGGCUCAACCCCGGAACUGCCUCCAAAACUGCUAGUCUAGAGUUCGAGAGAGGUGAGUGGAAUUCCGAGUGUAGAGGUGAAAUUCGUAGAUAUUCGGAGGAACACCAGUGGCGAAGGCGGCUCACUGGCUCGAUACUGACGCUGAGGUGCGAAAGUGUGGGGAGCAAACAGGAUUAGAUACCCUGGUAGUCCACACCGUAAACGAUGAAUGCCAGUCGUCGGAUAGUAUACUAUUCGGUGACACACCUAACGGAUUAAGCAUUCCGCCUGGGGAGUACGGUCGCAAGAUUAAAACUCAAAGGAAUUGACGG
This 561-nucleotide ribosomal RNA is filed under the name uncultured bacterium. RNAcentral describes it as "bacterial SSU rRNA". It matches the Rfam family "Bacterial small subunit ribosomal RNA", at positions 337 to 916 of the family's 1533-position model. The record is from RNAcentral.